Molecule: ribosomal RNA, 331 nt
Filed under: uncultured eukaryote
Lineage: Eukaryota
Description: partial 18S ribosomal RNA
Rfam family: Eukaryotic small subunit ribosomal RNA
Source: RNAcentral
CCCUUAGAUGUUCUGGGCCGCACGCGCGCUACACUGUUCGACGCAGCGAGUCUUAACCUUGACCGAAAGGUUUGGGUAAUCUUCAGCAAAGUCGAACGUGAUGGGGAUCGAUCAUUGCAAUUAUUGAUCGUGAACGAGGAAUUCCUAGUAAGUGCAAGUCAUCAGCUUGCGCUGAUUACGUCCCUGCCCUCUGUACACACCGCCCGUCGCUACUACCGAUUGAAUGGUUUAGUGAGAUCUCUGGAUUGACGCUGGCUAGGGGGCGACCCUUGGCCAGACUGUUGAGAAACUGCUCAAACUUGAUCAUUUAGAGGAAGUAAAAGUCGUAACA